CCUACGGGAUGCAGCAGUGAGGAAUAUUGGUCAAUGGCCGGAAGGCUGAACCAGCCAUGCCGCGUGAAGGUCAGUGCCCUAUGGGCGUUAAACUUCUUUUGUGCGGGAGCAAUAAUGGUCACGUGUGGCCAGACGAGAGUACCGUACGAAUAAGCAUCGGCUAACUCCGUGCCAGCAGCCGCGGUAAUACGGGGGAUGCAAGCGUUAUCCGGAUUUAUUGGGUUUAAAGGGUGCGUAGGCUGUGAGGUAAGUCAGCGGUGAAAUGCCCCCGCUCAACGGGGUGAAGUGCCAUUGAUACUGGCUGGCUGGAAUGCGGAUGCCGUGGGAGGAAUGUGUGGUGUAGCGGUGAAAUGCAUAGAUAUCACACAGAACACCGAUUGCGAAGGCAUCUCACGAAUCCGCGAUUGACGCUGAUGCACGAAAGCGUGGGUAUCAAACAGGAUUAGAUACCCGAGUAGUC
This 460-nucleotide ribosomal RNA is filed under the name uncultured bacterium. RNAcentral describes it as "partial 16S ribosomal RNA". It matches the Rfam family "Bacterial small subunit ribosomal RNA", at positions 338 to 795 of the family's 1533-position model. The record is from RNAcentral.